AACGAACGCUGGCGGUAUGCCUAACACAUGCAAGUCGCACGAGAAAGUACUUCGGUAUGAGUAGAGUGGCGCACGGGUGAGUAACACGUAGGUGACCUUCCGAAUAGUGGGGGAUAACUCGGAGAAAUCCGGGCUAAUACCGCAUAUGUACGACAAAUCUGAGAGUAGUCGUAGAAAGAAUGCCUCUACUUGUAAGCAUUCGCUAAUCGAUGGGCCUGCGGAGCAUUAGCUAGUUGGUGGGGUAAUGGCCUACCAAGGCUACGAUGCUUAACGGAUCUGAGAGGAUGAUCCGUCACACUGGAACUGAGACACGGUCCAGACUCCUACGGGAGGCAGCAGUGGGGAAUUUUGGACAAUGGGCGCAAGCCUGAUCCAGCCAUGCCGCGUGAGUGAAGAAGGCCU
This 402-nucleotide ribosomal RNA is filed under the name uncultured bacterium. RNAcentral's name for it is "bacterial SSU rRNA". It matches the Rfam family "Bacterial small subunit ribosomal RNA", at positions 29 to 417 of the family's 1533-position model. The record is from RNAcentral.